Apus apus (common swift) is the source of this 4540-nucleotide long non-coding RNA. RefSeq lists it as uncharacterized. The record is from RefSeq and is a predicted model, not a curated record. NCBI's taxonomy places the organism in Eukaryota, Metazoa, Chordata, Aves, Apodiformes, Apodidae. The transcript is spliced from 2 exons.
ACCCCGCUCCUUUUGAGCCAUUGUGCUUAACUGAAUUUUAUAAAGCUGAUCGAUAUCUUGGUAAAAUAUUCAUUUUUAAACUAGCGGGCAGCGAAAUCUUUGCUUUGUGCUAAAGUCAACAAGUCGCCCGGUUCCAGCUCCAAUAAAUGCCGGGAUGCUCCCGGGCUCCCGCAGAGCCGGGCUGGCUGCCGGGGCGCAGGGGGAAAUGAGAGUUUCGGCUGUGAGGGCAUCCCUUCCGGGGCUGUCUCGCUCUGACCGCCAUCUCCGGGCACGGACACGAGUGGCAUCGCCCACGCAGGCAAGGACCGGGGUGACAGUCCCCGGGAUGCGGAGGGGAAACCCGGGGAGGAAACAUGGAAACAUGCCCCCCUGGGUACUUGUGCUUGCUCUGGCCACAAGCUCGGAGCGGGGUGUCCAAGCCCGGGCAAGAGGGGACAGGAGCGGAGUUGUGCGUGUGUCCCCGUCCCCGAGUUGCUGUGGCACGUUCAGUAUCCCCGGCAAAGAGGGGAAGGCUCAGGGCGGUUAUUGUGCUCUCAAUAAUUAAUAACAACCCCCCGCCCCGCUCAUAAUGCAGCUCGGAGAGUUCUCCAAUUACUUCUCAUUAAACGCCCGUCGCCCGCGAGUGGGGCGCAGCAUCCCGCAGCAUCCCUCCUUGGGGGUCUCGCGCUGUUCUCGGCCACAAAAAUUCGGGACAGACCGGUUCAGCCCCUUGUCCCUGACCAUCUAUGUCCCCCGCUCCCGGCAUUCGCAGGGACCGGUGCACCGGGAGCGGAGGACACGGGACAUGUCAUUUCUGACCAUGAUCCUUGAUAUUUUUUAUCCCUAUUCCUGCAUCUGAGCAUCCCCAGCUUCCCCAACCCCCCCUGUCCCACCCCCGCCCCCCAGUCGAGUUCUCUCUGUUCCGUUCCGGCCGUUAAUUCCCCCCAAUACAGCUUUAUUUUUCGAAGUGGGGGAUACACCGAGUGGCAUCCUGUGUCGCCGUCUGGCUUUUGUGAAGUGUAGGCAGAGGAGAUGACGACCUGAGCCCCCAAAUCAGCCCGAUCCAGCCGGUUUUAAUUAUAGUUAUAUUAUUUUCCCCCUAACUUCUCAUCCGCAGGGAGCAAAAGGCACUUUUGUUUGUUUGUUGUUUGGGGUUUUUUUUUAAUUGUUCGGGCGCCUAAUAACAUGCAACAAUGGCUCAAAAGCCGUCAAACCCCCAAGGAGAUGGGCAAGUUUUUGGGCACCCGACGCCCCCUCCCCUCUCCCCAGUCUUAUUCCCCUCUCUUGGGGAUCGGCCGUGCAGGCAGCAAUCGGGCCCUGCCUGCCCUGCCUGCGCCCGCCGGCAGCAUCGCGGGGGAAAAAAGCGCAUUCAUUGAUGAUCUUAAACAACAACAACAACAACAACAACAAAACCAAUAAAAAACAACCCAAAACCAAAACACCAACUAACAACAAACCGGACAGCUCGGGGGUGAGAUGAGUCUAAUUAUUGCUGGUUCUAAAAAGAGCUGGAACACCCAAGUAGGGCUUAACUCGUCUCCUGGGAAACUGAUGGAGACCUAUUUUACAAGCUGUAAUUCUGCUUUAGACUAUUGCAGGCUAAAGGCAGUUGACACUAUCCUCUUUCUUCUAGAAAUAGUCCUAAUCCUGUAUUUCGGCCCGGUAAAGUCCACUUUCUGCUCCGCACUUAGAUUAAUCCCGAAACCACAUAAAACCAGGUAGGGAAGAGGAUGGAAAAGGAGAGGAGCGGGGGAGAAGAUACGUAUAUAUGUAUGUUUGUGUGUAUAUAUAUAUAUAUAUAUAUAUAAAUAAAUAUAAAAUUAAUUCAAAGUUUGUCACCUCUGCCCUGCCCAACCUUUAAAAGAGGCAAUAUUAAAGGGUGAUGCGGAGUUUGGCGGCUACUUAUUUAAGGGACAACCUCGUCACCAGCCGAGCUAAAUUUGGGGCUUUGGAACAGGCAGGGACGGGGAGGAGAGUCCGGGAUUAUUUUGUCUCUCCGGUAGUUUUUCAGGCUCUCACGACGGCGAGCGAAACAUUUAUCCUUUGCCGACGGAGCCGGGUGGCAGGAAGCUGCCGGGAGAGAGGUGAAUUUGGUAGGGAGUUAUUUUUAUGGGGAAAAACAUAAAGCAAAAUAAAAAUAAAAUAAUAAUAAUAACAAUAAUAAUUAAACAAACACAACAAAGGGAAAAAAAGGGGGGGAAAAGGGAAAAAAAGAAAAAGAAAAAACGGGAAAAAAGGAAAAAAACCCAAACCCAAGCCCUGCCGGGCACUGUAAUAACGGUUUUUUUUUUUGGUUGGUUGGUUGUUUUUUCUUCUCCACAAUUAUUCUUUGAGGAACAUUUGUGUCCCCGAGGAGGUCGCGCUGUUUCAGAGGCACAGGGUCUGUGGGGCAUCCCUAUAAACAAGGCGUUUUUUUGAGGGCUUAUUUGAGGUCGGAGGGGCUUGACCCGCCGUCCUGCCGUGUAGCUGAGCAGGACGGGCACGGGGGACACGGCUGUGGCCCACCCCGCCAGGGCUGGGCACGGGGGUGAUGCCCGGGAAGAGCCGGGGUGUGAACAUCGGGCCCUGGAGCACGGGAAAAGGCGCAGGGAGGCCGGGAUGUUGUUUUGGGUGGGUGAGAGAUGGAGAGAUGGAGGGAUGGAUCAAUGGAGGGGGUGAUGGAGAGAUGGAGGGAUGGAGAAACGGAUGCAGGGAUCGAUGGAGGGAUGGAUGCAGGGAUCGAUGUAGAGAUUGGUGGACGGAUGGAUAGAUGGACAGAGGAAGAGAUGGAUGAAUGGAUGGAUGGAUGGGUGGAUGGAUGGAAGGAAGGAUGGAGGGACGGACAGCGGUUUGUUGAGCCACCACUGCCCGCCGGGCCCUGCCCCCCGGCCGUGAGGAGAGCAGAGGCACAGGCAGCGCUAACGAAAAGGGCCUGCAGCGGCCCGGGAAACCGGAGGGGAGGCUCGGGGCUGGGCUACCGGCGGGGCAGCGGCUCGGGGGGGCAGAGGGGGGGCCGGGGGCGGCGGCACCGCCGUCCCGUUAUGUUUGCAGGUGCAGCCGGGUGUGAAAUUGCAUGUAGGGGAAAAAAAAAAAAGAAAGAAGAAGAAGAAGAAGCAGCUUUUAAAAACGCAAAUGAGGCCGAGGCGGCUCCUCGGGGGAGCGUGUGUGUGGGGGGGUGUCUCCCACCCCUCCCCAAAGGGGGGUUUCGUUUGCACAGGCGUGUGCGGGGCCGUGGAAGAGCUGGUGCGGGAUGGGGGGCAGCGGCAGCCUUCGCCCCUCCUGGCCACGGCUCCAUGCCUUCCCUCUUCUGUUCCUCUUCUUUUAUUUCCUGUCUUCCCUUUCCUUUUAUUUCUUCCUUUCUUUCCCUUUCUUUCCUCUUUUUAAAUUUUUUCCAGUUUAUUUCUUUUUCCCUUUCCCUUUUCCUUCUUUUCCCUUUUCUUUAAUUAUUUUCUUUAAUUUUCUUUUAAUUUAUUUCCCGUUUUUCUCUGUUUCUUUCCCUUUCCUUUUUACCCUCUUUCCUUUUUACCCCUCCAUUCUUUCUCUGCCUCCCUUUCUUUCAUUUUUUUUUUCAUUUUCCCCCUUUCUUUUCCCCCCCAUUCUUUCCCUUUUUCUCUUUUCCCUUUCCCUUUCCUCCUUUUCUUUUACUUUUUCUUAUUCUUUCCCUUUCCCCCCCUUUAUUUCCUUUUGUCCCUUUUCACCCCAUUCUUUCCCCUUUUUCAAUUUUCUUUAAUUUUCUCCUCUUUCUUUCCUUUUACCCAUUGCUCCCUUUCCCCCAUUCUUUCUUUUUUUUUCGUAUUUUUUGGCCUUUUCCAGUUUCUUUCCCUUUCACCCCAUUCUUUUUUUUUUUUUUUUCCAGUUGCUUUUUCUUUCUCCUCUUGAUUUCCAUUUUUCCACUUUCUUUCACUUCCCCCCUUUCAUCUUUUUUCCUUUUCUUUCCACGCCCUCCUUUUUAUUUUCCCUUUUUCUUUCCCAGUUUUCCCUUUCUUUCUCUUCCCCCCGAGACUCCCAUAGCUCACCUCCUCUCAGCCCCCAUUCCUCCCUCUCCACCCUCCCCACUUCCUCCAGAGCUCCUUUCCAGGGCAGAGGGGCUGUUUCCCCAGGGGAAGCACAGAGCAGCUGGGGGAGGCUGUGGAUAGCCCCGCUGCCACGGGCAUGGGCACCGGGUGAGGACACAGCAGCAGGACACUCCUGCUGCUCCUCACCUGCCAGUGGCUGGGUUUUUUAUAAACUACGGGGGCUUUCUACAGGUUUUUGAUUCCCACAAGCAGUAAAAAGAACAAAUCUCAUCUCUCCACGGCUGGAAAACAGCUGCCGGGCGCCCACAGCAGGGAGGGGUGUAAAUUUGCUGAUUUUACUUCCUCCCCGUCCCCCGGUGCCAAAGGCGUCAUUGCCGGAGGAUUUUGGAGACCUUGAAAUGCUGCCUGCCCUCGACAGCAAAGCUGCCUGCACUUGCCCUUCCCUUCGCCCACCUUUAUUUAUUUUAAUAAUGGCACAAGGAAUAGGCGCUGGAGGGAGUGGGGGACAAUUCGGGGGCUGUGUACUGCUGCCAUGGAUGUGUUCCCAAUAAAGCCACAGGUCCCCA